This 203-nucleotide long non-coding RNA is filed under the name Panax ginseng (ginseng). RNAcentral's name for it is "long non-coding RNA (PGIN_LNC000180)". The record is from RNAcentral. Lineage: Eukaryota; Viridiplantae; Streptophyta; Magnoliopsida; Apiales; Araliaceae.
UCUUCUUCUGCAAAUCUAAUCAGAUAGCGACGAAGCCAUAAUUUUGUGUUUAAAGUUCCUCUCAACCUCGUUCACGCCUCACUGAUUCUUUGAUUUGCAAACUAGGGUUCCAGUGACGAAGGCGAAUCGAAGGGGGAAAUUAGGGGUUUUCAUCUUCUCAAACCAUUUGAACACCUAAAAGGUUGUUAAUUGUAACAAUCGAG